RNAcentral lists this ribosomal RNA (769 nucleotides) under Pseudomonas putida. RNAcentral's name for it is "bacterial SSU rRNA". It matches the Rfam family "Bacterial small subunit ribosomal RNA", at positions 189 to 939 of the family's 1533-position model. Lineage: Bacteria; Pseudomonadati; Pseudomonadota; Gammaproteobacteria; Pseudomonadales; Pseudomonadaceae. The record is from RNAcentral.
ACGUCCUACGGGAGAAAGCAGGGGACCUUCGGGCCUUGCGCUAUCAGAUGAGCCUAGGUCGGAUUAGCUUGUUGGUGAGGUAAUGGCUCACCAAGGCGACGAUCCGUAACUGGUCUGAGAGGAUGAUCAGUCACACUGGAACUGAGACACGGUCCAGACUCCUACGGGAGGCAGCAGUGGGGAAUAUUGGACAAUGGGCGAAAGCCUGAUCCAGCCAUGCCGCGUGUGUGAAGAAGGUCUUCGGAUUGUAAAGCACUUUAAGUUGGGAGGAAGGGCAGUAAGCUAAUACCUUGCUGUUUUGACGUUACCGACAGAAUAAGCACCGGCUAACUCUGUGCCAGCAGCCGCGGUAAUACAGAGGGUGCAAGCGUUAAUCGGAAUUACUGGGCGUAAAGCGCGCGUAGGUGGUUUGUUAAGUUGGAUGUGAAAGCCCCGGGCUCAACCUGGGAACUGCAUCCAAAACUGGCAAGCUAGAGUACGGUAGAGGGUGGUGGAAUUUCCUGUGUAGCGGUGAAAUGCGUAGAUAUAGGAAGGAACACCAGUGGCGAAGGCGACCACCUGGACUGAUACUGACACUGAGGUGCGAAAGCGUGGGGAGCAAACAGGAUUAGAUACCCUGGUAGUCCACGCCGUAAACGAUGUCAACUAGCCGUUGGAAUCCUUGAGAUUUUAGUGGCGCAGCUAACGCAUUAAGUUGACCGCCUGGGGAGUACGGCCGCAAGGUUAAAACUCAAAUGAAUUGACGGGGGCCCGCACAAGCGGUGGAGCA